AACGGGUGAGUAACACGUGGGUAACCUGCCCAUCAGAAGGGGAUAACACUUGGAAACAGGUGCUAAUACCGUAUAACAAUCGAAACCGCAUGGUUUUGAUUUGAAAGGCGCUUUCGGGUGUCGCUGAUGGAUGGACCCGCGGUGCAUUAGCUAGUUGGUGAGGUAACGGCUCACCAAGGCGACGAUGCAUAGCCGACCUGAGAGGGUGAUCGGCCACAUUGGGACUGAGACACGGCCCA
Molecule: ribosomal RNA, 239 nt
Filed under: uncultured bacterium
Lineage: Bacteria
Description: partial 16S ribosomal RNA
Rfam family: Bacterial small subunit ribosomal RNA
Source: RNAcentral